RNAcentral lists this ribosomal RNA (732 nucleotides) under uncultured eukaryote. RNAcentral's name for it is "SSU rRNA". It matches the Rfam family "Eukaryotic small subunit ribosomal RNA", at positions 1027 to 1784 of the family's 1831-position model. The record is from RNAcentral.
UGACCGUAACGAUGCCACUAGCGAUCCGCCGGUGGAUUUUUAGCCCUGGUGGGUAGCUUCCCGGAAACGAAAGUCUUCCGGUUCCGGGGGAAGUAUGGUUGCAAAGCUGAAACUUAAAGGAAUUGACGGAAGGGCACCGCCAGGAGUGGAGCCUGCGGCUUAAUUUGACUCAACACGGGGAAACUCACCCGGCCCGGACACCGUAAGGAUUGACAGAUUGAUAGCUCUUUCAUGAUUCGGUGGUUGGUGGUGCAUGGCCGUUCUUAGUUCGUGGAUCGAUUUGUCUGGUUUAUUCCGAUAACGAGCGAGACUCUAGCCUACUAAAUAGUAACGAGAUUAUCAAUGUCUCAGUUGCUUCUUAGAGGGAUUUUCGGUGUUUAGCCGCACGAGAUUGAGCAAUAACAGGUCUGUGAUGCCCUUAGAUGUCCGGGGCUGCACGCGCGCUACACUGGCGAAAUCAGCGUGCUGUAUCCAUUCUCGAAAGGGAUUGGUAAACCCAUGAAAAUUUGCCGUGCUUGGGAUCGGAAAUUGCAAUUAUUUUCCGUGAACGAGGAAUUCCAAGUAAGUGCGAGUCAUCAACUCGCUCUGAUUACGUCCCUGCCCUUUGUACACACCGCCCGUCGCUGCCCGGGACUGAGCCAUUUCGAGAAGAUCAGGGACUGGUGGACUGUGGCCUCUUCGGAGGUCCGGUUCGCUGGAAACUGAUUUGAUCGCAGUGGCUUGAACCGGGCA